CACGGGGGGAGCAAGCGUUGUUCGGAAUUACUGGGCGUAAAGGGCGUGUAGGCGGUUGGGUAAGUGGGAUGUGAAAUGCCUCGGCUCACCCGAGGAUCUGCAUCCCAAACUGCCCGACUUGAGUAUGGGAGAGGAUGAGGGAAUUCCUGGUGUAGCGGUGAAAUGCGUAGAUAUCAGGAGGAACACCGGUGGCGAAGGCGCUCAUCUGGCCCAAUACUGACGCUGAGGCGCGAAAGCUAGGGGAGCAAACGGG
Molecule: ribosomal RNA, 253 nt
Filed under: uncultured bacterium
Lineage: Bacteria
Description: partial 16S ribosomal RNA
Rfam family: Bacterial small subunit ribosomal RNA
Source: RNAcentral